CAGGACGAACGCUGGCGGCGUGCCUAAUACAUGCAAGUCGAACGGCUUUUCUAUGGAAGCUUGCUUCCACUGAGAAGAUAGUGGCGAACGGGUGAGUAACACGUGGGGUAACCUGCCCAUAAGAGGGGGAUAACAUCCGGAAACGGGUGCUAAUACCGCAUAGUUUUCUUGAUCGCAUGAUCGGGAAAGGAAAGACGGCCUUUGUGCUGUCGCUUAUGGAUGGACCCGCGGCGUAUUAGUUAGUUGGUGAGGUAACGGCUCACCAAGACGAUGAUACGUAGCCGACCUGAGAGGGUGAUCGGCCACAUUGGGACUGAGACACGGCCCAAACUCCUACGGGAGGCAGCAGUAGGGAAUCUUCCGCAAUGGACGAAAGUCUGACGGAGCAACGCCGCGUGAGUGAAGAAGGUUUUUCCGGAUCGUAAAACUCUGUUGUCAGAGAAGAACAAGUUGGAGAGUAACUGCUCCAGCCUUGACGGUAUCUGACCAGAAAGCCACGGCUAACUACGUGCCAGCAGCAGC
RNAcentral lists this ribosomal RNA (522 nucleotides) under uncultured bacterium. Its description in RNAcentral is "bacterial SSU rRNA". It matches the Rfam family "Bacterial small subunit ribosomal RNA", at positions 25 to 518 of the family's 1533-position model. The record is from RNAcentral.